CGAUACGUAUUGUGAAUUGCAGAAUUCAGUGAAUCAUCGAGUCUUUGAACGCAUAUUGCACUCUCUGGCAUUCCGGGGAGUAUGCCUGUUUCAGCAUCAUCAGCACCAUCGAAUCCAAUUUCUUGGAAUCGGAUCUGGGCUUCUUUUGCGGAGGAGUAUUUCCCGCUGGCCUUAAAUUGAAUCGUGCGUCGCGUUACCUCAGUAUUUUGCCAAGUCUCGUACUUUGCAGGACCUGUAGGACCUCCUCCCCAAGGCGUCAUAGUUGGCUCUGCCAUCUUUCGCCGAUUUUGGGAGUGGUGCGCGCCGCGCAGUCUUUUUUUCUCCGUGUUUGAGAUUUCUCGCACGAGAAUUAAUUUUUUUGAAAUUUGAUCUGAAAUCAGGCAGGAUUACCCGCUGAACUUAA
This 403-nucleotide ribosomal RNA is filed under the name uncultured fungus. RNAcentral describes it as "eukaryotic LSU rRNA". The stretch from base 1 to 99 matches the Rfam family "5.8S ribosomal RNA", at positions 56 to 154 of the family's 154-position model. Lineage: Eukaryota; Fungi. The record is from RNAcentral.